GUGAUCGAAGGGUAUGGUUGGCAUGGAAUUGAAUUUCAUCUGUCUAUGGGAAUUGUAAACAAGGUUGCCAUCACGAAAGCCAAGGUGGAUUUCUCCCGUGUGCCUGCCCCCUUCCGUCAUUGCUGUGAAUGGGCUGGACGGAGGAGGGGCUGGCGAAAAUGAUGAUGAACCAGUGCUGGUAUCCCUGUCUGCGGCACCCAGCCCCCAGAGCGAAGCUGUUGCCAAUGAACUGCAGGAGCUCUCCUUGCAGCCCGAGCUGACCCUAGGGGUCUAAUCACAGCUGUAGUCACUGGCCUACGACAGAGCCACAGCAACGUGGGAUCCGAGCUGCGUCUGCGACCUACACCACAGCUCACAGCAACGCCGGAUCGUUAACCCACUGAGCAAGGCCAGGGAUCGAACCCACAACCUCAUGGUUCCUAGUCAGAUUUGUUAACCACUGCACCACGAUGGGAACUCCAGUAUUUCUUAUAAACUAGAGAAACAACAAGUAUAGGUGGUCAUUGUUAACCCAGCAUUUCCUGCCUAGGUUAUCAUAAUUGCUUUCUAAUUUGUCUUCCUACUUCUUUGCUUCUCCCUCCCUUUUCUGUAAAUUCAUUAGUUCAGCAAAUAUUUAUUAUCACUGUAUUAUAAAUUGUGCUAAGAUUAGUGAUUAAGUGGUAAACCAGCCUGUGUUGUUAGGAAACUUUCCCUAUCCCAUGCCUUGUUGGAGUAAUCUUCCAGAACUCCCUGGCGGAAUACUUUUUCAGUGACUGACUUACAGAAUAAAAACAAAGUAAGUUUCUGGAUGUGUUUUAUGAGGCUUUUCAGGACCUAGUUGCUUUCUGUUUUGUUUUUUUUUUUUUUAAGCUUUUCUCAUUAUUCCUUUAGUCCUAGUCUUUGCUUUAACCUAUUUAACUGCUUUUAGUACAAACCAUGUACUAUUACUUCAGACUUUUGUUAAUUAAAAAAAGUAUACUUUGUCAUGAAGUAUUUAAGAUUUUUAAAAGGUAUAAAGAGUAAUGCAGCAAAUACCUAUGUACCCAUGUACCAUACAACUCAUGUACACUCCCUGAGUCUUCACCCACCCCAAGUGGUAAUUGCUACCCUGAAUUUGGUAUUUCAUUGCAAGUGUUUCUCUAUUUUUUUUUUUUUUUUACUGUAUGAAUAUAUUCCUAAGCAAUAUAUGUAUCUCAUUUUGUAAACUAUAUAUAUUUAUAUAUCAAUUGGAGAAAUAACUUUAUUGUAUAAUAGUCUUUAACAACUUGUACUUAUUGUUGAAUAUUUAUUUUCCCUGUGAGUUAUUAACAUUACUCUCUGAUUUCUUCUAAUCUAGUCUACGAAUCACCGUUUAUUGAACAGUUCUACUUCUCCCUAGUGAUCUUUAAUGUCACUUUUAUUUUGUUUCUCUGUGUGCAGGAGUUAGUUUUUGGGCUCUCUGUUCUGUUUCACUGGUCUUUCUCUUCAUCUCUGUGUCAUAUUACCUCAUUUUAGUUGUUAUUACUUACUAAUUCUAUCUGUUAGGAUUGGGGCUCUCCUUGCCUUUUUCUUCUUCUAAGUUGUUUUGGCUAAUCUUACCCUUUUAAUUUUCCAUCAUUUUAGAAUCAGCUUGUGAAGUUCUCCAAAAAAACCUUUCCUUCAACAUUUUAUUAUGAAAAACUUCAAACAUAUGAUGAAGUAGAGGUUUUAUUUUAUUUAUUUAUUUUUUUGUGGAGGUACCAAGUUUAUUUGUUUUUUUUAUUUUUAUUUUUGUCUUUUUGCCUUUUCUAGGGCUGCUCCUGCGGCAUAUGGAGGUUCCCAGGCUUGGGGUCUAAUCAGAGCUGUGGUGCUGGCCUACACCAGAGCCACAGCAGACACCAGAGCCACAGCAGAAGUAGAGGUUUUAAAAUAAACACCUUUAUAUCCACCACUUAGAUUCUACCAUUAACACUUUAUAAUAUUUGCUUUAUAAUAGAUCUGUCCAUUCCUUUGUCCAUCAUCCACCUUAUUUUUUUGAAGGCAUUUUAAAGUAAAUUGCAAGCACGGAUACAUUUCCGUUUUAUUGCAGCAUAGUAUUGAUACAGAAUAACGCACAAAUUGUAAGCAUUGUGGCUGUUGAGUUAUCAUGGAGUAAAUACACCUGCGUGUAAUUACAACUUAAUGAAGAAAUAAAACAUUUGCAGCACCCCAGAAUCACCCCUUUUGCUUCUUCCUGAUCCGUAGCCCUCCUUCCUGCCCAGAGGAAACUGCUGUCCUGACUUUUAACACAAUAGGUUAAUUUUGCUUGAUUCUAAACUUGAUAUAGAUGGAGUUAUGCUGUAUGGUAUCCUGUUGGUGGCUUCUUUUAUGUUUUUGAAAUUCAUUUGUGUUGAAUUGUGUGUAGCUAUAGUUUAUUUUCUGUUGCUAUAAUCUAUCCAUUUUAUGAAUGUAAUUUGUCAGUUUUUACUUUUGAUGGAUAUUUGGUUUGUUUUAGCUUGGGUCUAUUCUGAAUCAUUCCGCUGUGAAAUUUUUUUUUUUUUUUUUUUUUUGGCUGCUUUGAGGCAUAUGGAGUUCACAGGCCAGGGGGCAGAUCCCAGCCACAAACGUGACCUAAGCUGCAACUGUAGCAGUGCUGAUCCUUAACCUACUGUGCCAAGCCAGGGAUCGAACCCACGUCCCAGAGCUCCAAAGACACUGCUGAUCCCGUUGCACCACAGUGGGAACUACUGUGAAAUUCUUGUACAUGUCUUUGGGUGUACUUGUUGAGAUUUUGAUUUGAAACAUCAUUUAUAGAUUAAUGGGGAGAAUAUACAUUUUAAAUAUUGGGUCUUUCUGUCUAUGAGUUAGGUUUAUCUCUCCAAUUAAAUAGGCCGUCUUUAGGAGCUCCUUUGUGGCACAGUAGGUUAAGGAUCCACUUGUUGUGACUACAGCAGCUUGGGUCACUGCUGUAAUGUGGGUUCAAUUCCUGGCCCAGGAAUUUCCACAUGCCAUGAGUGUGGCCAAAAAUAAAAUAAAAUAGGCCUCCUUUAAUAUCUAUCCACAGAUUUUAUAAUUUUUUCCAUAAAGGUCAUGCACAUAAUUUACUAGGUUUAUUCUCUAGUAUCUUUUUUGGAGGUAGACACUGUAAGUAGUAUAUUUUUAUAAUUUUUUUCUUUUGGCCACAACAUGCUGGAGUUCCCAGGCCAGGGACUGAAUUCGCGCCACAGCAGUGAUGCGAGCAGUAAUGAUGUCAGAUGCUCAGCCUCGACCCUCAACCCUAGGCCACCAGGAAACUCCCUAUAAAAUAUUUUUUGGCUGUUUUGAUACUGAGGGAUAGAAAUGCCAAACCUUUGCAAAACUCCAAUCACUUUUCUACAGCUCUGCUCUCUAUUUGGGAACCCACCCUCACCUCUGCCCCCACCCCAUGCCUUCUUGCCAACUCUCACUUGGUCCUUCGUGUUCUUUUCAGACAUCCCUCCCUUUGAGAAGCCUGUCCUCACCCAUGUUCAGGGUUAGGUGUCCUCUUUUGCUUUGCCCAAUUGCCCUUUGUCAUUAUACUUCAUCACUCUGUGUUGUAACUGGAAUUCUCCACUCAGCACCAUGACUGGGGCCUUUGAACUCUGAAAUCAGACCUGUUACACUCCUCUCAGAACCCUUCAAUGCCUUCCCAUGGGGCAUAUGAUGGAAUAAUAGUUCUUUUUUUUUUUUUUGGUCUUUUUGCCAUUUCUUGGGCCACUCCCGAGGCAUAUGGAGGUUCCCAGGCUAGGUGUCGAAUCAGAGCUGAAGCUGCUGGCCUUCACCAGGGCCAUAGCAACGCGGGAUCCGAGCCGCAUCUGCAACCUACACCACAGCUCACGGCAACGCCGGAUCGUUAACCCACCGAGCAAGGCCAGGGAUCGAACCCGCAACCUCAUGGUUCCUAGUUGGAUUCGUUAACCACUGCGCCACGACAGGAACUCCAAUAGUUCUUAUAACAUGGUCCUGGUAUCACCUCUGACCUCUGUUCCCCAGCUCACUCUACUCUGUUCCAGCCACAUUGACUUUCUUGGUGUUCCUUGAACAUAUCGAGUAUGCUCCUGCCCCAGGGCCUUGGUACUUGCCUUACUGUGGUACUGAUGUUCCUACACAAAUGUCAUUUUCUCUGGGAGGCUUUUCCUGACUAUUUUAUCUAAAAUAGUACCUCCCAUUACUCUCUGUCCUGCUUUGUUUUUCCUCUGAGUACCUCUCAUCUGUGUGUGUGUUUGUACUGUGUGUGUAUGUAUAUAUGUUUAUGGUCUGUAUUUCAUGAGGCCAGAAACUUUAUUUUGUUCAUGGUGUAUAUUCAACUCCUGGCUCAUAGUGGACACCCAGUGAAUGUUUAUUGAAUAAAUAGGUGAAUGAUUUACUUGAUUCAUCCACUAAGAAGUAAGAGCAGUGUUUUUACGUCUAUAAUGGGAAACGUAGUGGAAACUCAAGCGUUUUUUGUUUUGGGAAAUAGUGAACACUCAAGUUUUUUGGUAUUUUUUUUCCCAUUUCUAAUUUCUAUACUUUCCCUCCAAGAUAGCAGAAAGUUCCGCUUAUUUAUGUGCUAAGGGGAAAGAGAGAGGGAAGAGCUGAAAUUGGGAAAGGAGAGAGGAUAACUGAUGGAGCAAGGUUCCUGGGAGAUGCCAAAAGAUGGAAUCCAAAGAUAGUGGCUCUGCCUUGAGCAGGAGUAAGGACCAGCAUUCCUCUGGGAUAGGAGGAAUGACAGUGAAGGUGAGGACAGAUAGCAGACAACACAACUGUCCUCUCUUGGGCAGGAAGUGGAGACAAUUGGUGCCGACAGCUGUGAUGGUCUCAGUGGAACAGAGGGCAGCUGUUGCUCUUGGGGCAGAGGUGUUGGUGUAUCUUCAGCCUUUCCCUCUCAGCUCUUUGGCAUAGAAAUCAACUGAAUUAUCUUCCCAUUUUGAACAACAGCGGCUCUCUAACCUUCCCUUUGUGGUCAAGCUCCUGAAAGAGCAGUUUUCAAGUCACCGUGUUUUACUUUCCCAAAUUCCAAAGACUUUAUUGCAUCCUCACUUCUGUCCCUCCCUCUCUUCAGAAACCGCCACUGCUUUGGGUUGUAGAUUGGAAAAGAACUCUAGUCGGUUUGACCCCUCUGUAACAUUUAACCUGGUUGGCCACCCCUCUGACCUGGACCUUCCCUCUGCUGCUGUCUGUGACCCUACUCUUUACUGGCUUUACUUGGUCUUUCCAGCCAGUCCCAUUUCUGCUCAGAUCUUUUGCUCUCUUUGUCUACUCACCUCUUUAAGUUUGUUACACCCCAGGGUUCAGCUCUAGGACUUCCUUACUUCUUACUCUAUAUCUUUACCUUGAGUGGUUUUCCCCAGAACUCUGGCUCUAACCACCAUUAUAUGCUGCUGAUGCCCUGUUACAUCUCCAGGGCAAGUAUCUGGCCUGAGCUCCAGACUCAUUUGCUGGGCUGUCUCUUGAACCCCUGCCCUGGGUGUGCCACAGACUCAGAGCUAAACUCAUCAGCUUACUGCGUUCCUGCUUAAUUCUUUCUUCAUUGUAGGAAUUGCCACCAUCUUCUACCCACAUGUUCACACCAGGGGGUUGCUUUGCUUUGUUUUCUUUCUGAAUGAAAACCUUAAGAAUUUUGUUUUAUAAUCAGCUAAAGUGUAGGAAAAAAGAAAAUAAAAAUUCCUCAUAAUUAUGCAGUUCAGUUAUAGUCAGUGGCAGUAUUUAAUAUAUUUUCUCUCAGUUUUUAUUUUUGUUUACUUUUGUUCAAAAUUCAUUUACUUUUAUGCAUCUUUACUUUGUAUAAAUUGUUUUCAUGAGAUUUGCUUUAUCAUUCAAUUGUUUUUAAAAACAUUUUUUUCUCUGCUUGAUAUUUGUUUUUGUUUAAAUUUUAUUGGAGUAUAGUUGACUUACAAUAUAUUGAUUUCAGAUAUACAGCGAAGUGACUCAGUUAUCUAUAUACAUAUAUCCAUUCUUUUUCAGUUUGCUUGAUAUUUGAGUAGUGUAUGAAUGACAUUUAGCCAGUCUCAUGUGAGACUCUUACCUUUUUAUUUUUUUAUGUUAUAAAUAAUACUGCAGUAAACACCUUGGUGCAGGUGAUUGUAGGACAAGCUCCCAGAAGCAGAUGAAAAGAUAAGGACAUAAAGAACACUUUGUCCUUCUGAUUGCAAAAGUAGCAUGUUUGGGUAUGAAGUUUUCUAUUUAUUUAUUUUUUUUAUUUUGUUUUUUUAGGGCCAUACUCGCAGCAUAUGGAGGUUCCCAGGCUAGGGGUUGAAUCAGAGCUGUAGCUGCUGGCCUACACCACAGCCACAGCAACACCAGAUCUGAGCUGCAUCUGUGACCUAUACCACAGCUCAUGUCAACGCUGGAUCCUUAACCCUCUCAGCGAGGCCAGGAAUCAAACUUGCAACCUCAUGGUUCCUAGUUGGAUUUGUUUCUGCUGUGCAUGACAGGAAUACCGGAAGUUUUUAAUUUUUAAAAAUCGUUAUUUCCAAAUUGUCCUCCAGAAAGAUUAUAAUAUGCUAUUUUUGGAAGUAAUUUUUUGCUCCAUCUCCUUUCUGUCUCCUCUGUGUUUCCUCCCAGCCAUCAGUCACCAAUUUUUGUAGAUUCUGCAAUGCUUAUAUCUACUGAAUUCAUCCUUUUCUUGCCAUCUUACAGCUGCCACUUAGUUCAGAUUCUUAGUAAUGUCAUACAUGGAUUUCUGCUAGGAUGGCCUUCUAACUGGUCUCUCUUUGUUUCUAAUCUUGUCCCUCUGUCCACUGGGAUGACUGAGGUUGCUGCUCUCCUGCUUGAAAUCAAUUAGUGGUUCCCCAUUUCCUCCCCUUAGACUCUACAUCUUGGCAAACCUUCAGAGCCAGCUCUGCCCUGCCCCUUAUCUCUCAGAAAAAGAUUUGGAAUUUCCCAUAAGAGAUACACUUUCACAUCUCAGUUCCACUUCAUGUCCCCCUUUUUCCCUUUUUUCUUUUUGGCUGUACCCAUAACAUGUAGAAGUUUCCAGGACGGGGAUUGAACCCACAUCACAGCAACCUGAGCCACUGCAGUGACAAUGCUGGAUCCUUAACCCACUGCACCGCAGGGGAAUUCUCAGGUCCUGUUUCUUCUUCCUGGAAUGACCUUGCUUCUCCUCUUCUGGGUAACAUUUCUGUGUAGUCAAGAAGCAGAGGUAGGUGCUGCUUCUUGUAGUACUUCUACCUCAGAUUCCAACUUAGGUUAGGGGUUUAUAAUGAUCACAUUUGACUAGAUGAGAAGCUUUGUGAAAUCAGGGAUUGUGUCUGUCUUAUUUAUUGUGGUAUCGUUAGUGCUGAGCCAAAAACUUUAGUGUGCUAAUGAAUCAGCAAGGGUGCUUGUUAAAUGCAGAUUCAGAUUCUGUAGAUCUGGUGAGGCCUGAGAUUCUGCAUCUCUAACCAGCAUCUAGGUGAUUGCUGGUGCUGUUGGUCUGAGGUCAGCAUUUUGAUAGCAAGAUCUUAAGAGUAUAGUGUUUGAUAAAUGUUUGUUGAAUGUAUGUGCAAAUGAAUGAAUGGUGAAAGAACUAUUAAUUCACUGAAACAUUUAUUUCUUACAUUUAGGCAAUUAAGAAAAGAGUGAUCAUUGACUCUUUCUGGACAGAAAAGAAAAAACUUGAAAAGAAAAAAAUUAAACAAUUCAUGGUUUAGAUUAUUUGAAACUAAGACUUUCUGUGUCCAUCCCUGUAUAGGUGAAGUAUUUUGUGGAGUAAUUCUUUUAUUCUCUUAAUUAGUGGUAAAACAUUUAGACCAGAAGUUUUAAGUAACUUUUUUUUUAAAGUUGAAGAUCUCUGUACAUUAGAGAUUUUAUUUAUAAGUCCAGUGUGUAAAACAGCUGCUCUGGUUGAAUGAAAUCUGAAUGGAGACGCCAGAACCCCCCUUACUUGGCAUCCUGCCUCUUAGGCUGCUCUCGAAAGAGCACAAGUUGAAAACUUCUGAUUUAGAUCAUCUAUCUUAGUUGGAGCUGUGUUUGAGCCAACCUCUAUGGUUGCUAGAAUGGUUUCCUAACUGCCAGGAGCCCUCAUUAAUUGUGCGCAUGCUUCUAAGAGAAUAUGGAUACUUGAAACUAACAGACAAAUGGAACGGUGUGUACAACAUAAUGAUCACAUUUUGAUAGGAGAAAAUAAACCCCCAGAUUGAAAUUGUAUUCAAUAUUGGAAAGGCAACCGUGGUGAAAUACUGGUAUUAGAACAACGCUGAAGGGGAGGACAGUGACUUAACAAAGAAAUAAUCUAUAAAGGAGUUCCCAUGGUGGCACAGGGGAAGCGAUCCAACUAGGAACGAUGAGGUUGUGGGUUUGAUCCCUGGCCUCGCUCAGUGGGUUAACGAUCCAGCGUUGCCAUGAGCUGUGGUGUAGGUUGCAGAUGUGGCUUGGAUCUGGCGUGGCUGUGGUGUAGGCCAGCAGCUGUAGCUCCGAUUAGACCCCUAGCCUGAGAGCCUCCACAUGCUGUGAGUGCGGCCCUAAGAAGCAAAAAAAAAAUUGUAUAAGAAGUUUGAUGCUUACAGAAAAAUACCUUAUAUGGUGGAAUGUAUGUCAAUGGCCAGAAAUAUUAAUUGCUUAGCAGAAAUCCUUAAAAUAGCUGUCAAAAUCAGAUUCUGUUAUAAGGAGAAAAUGGAAAUUAUUGAUAAAGAAAACUAGGAAGCUGUGUCCCUGGUGAAACUUCAUACUGUCUUCUUUUUUUUAUUCCAUCCAGCAGCCAUCAGGUGAAUGUCUAGACAGGGGCAGUACUGUUAGUAUCUAGUUGCAGUGCUUUCCUGCCCAUAAUUGGCUUUUCUCUUUGUGCACCUGAAUGGUGCUUCUUUCUGUCACAAAAAGAAGGCUGUAUGUACUGCUGAAAAAAAAAAAAAA
RNAcentral lists this long non-coding RNA (8745 nucleotides) under Sus scrofa (pig). RNAcentral describes it as "lncRNA (ENSSSCG00005004834.1)". The record is from RNAcentral. Lineage: Eukaryota; Metazoa; Chordata; Mammalia; Artiodactyla; Suidae.